GGCCUUAUUCCUCCUACAUCUCCAAUGGCCAAGGCUUCCUUACUGGCAUGGGUUCCUUCCCCAGCUUCCUCUUCUCGAUGGCCAUGAAGGCUCCUCAGCCUUCCUGCAAAUAGAUCUGAUAAACACAUCUUCUCAGGUCAUCCUUUCCAUCAUUGAUAAAAAUGUCCAACUAGACAGAGAACUCUGACUUUGCUAACAGCCUAAGCUGUUCCAUUUAUUAACAUUCUUUGGAUAAAUUGAUGGAUCAGCCCUGAGUCUAAGCUCCAGCCCACAUUCCUCAUUAAUUUGCAUGCUUUAGAUGAUUUUUUUGACUUUCAACCCCAGGAGUUAGGUAAUCUUCUUAUCUCCAUU
This 351-nucleotide long non-coding RNA is filed under the name Pan troglodytes (chimpanzee). RNAcentral describes it as "long non-coding RNA NONPTRT005910". Lineage: Eukaryota; Metazoa; Chordata; Mammalia; Primates; Hominidae. The record is from RNAcentral.